RNAcentral lists this small RNA (343 nucleotides) under Arabidopsis thaliana (thale cress). Its description in RNAcentral is "ATSL156190". The record is from RNAcentral. Lineage: Eukaryota; Viridiplantae; Streptophyta; Magnoliopsida; Brassicales; Brassicaceae.
AAAAAUAUAAUUAAAUAUUCCCAUAAAUAUCUAAUUAAACCAACCAAUAAAAUAACAAUUAAACCGCAAGUCAAAAAUACUAUUUUAUGAAUAAAUAAAUAAUUCGACCAGCAAAACCAAGAAUAACUAACAAUCCUAACCGGGUUCCAAUAACCAAAAACACAAAAAUAAAACAACCGAGUUCCUAAAUCAUCCUUUCUUCCUUGCCAUGAUUCCACGAUCACACUUUAUCUUUACCUGCAUCAACAACACAAAGAGAUGCGUAAGUAUUAUCACAAAUACUUAGUGAGACGAUCCUCCCAUCUACGAGCUAUACACACAAGCAAAUAAAAGGGUAUAAUAA